Molecule: long non-coding RNA, 886 nt
Filed under: Pan troglodytes (chimpanzee)
Lineage: Eukaryota; Metazoa; Chordata; Mammalia; Primates; Hominidae
Description: lincRNA
Source: RNAcentral
ACCAUUACACUGGGGACCGGCUUCUCUGCUCUCCCGUUAUGGGGGUCGGGGGAAUGAUGGGUCAAGAGUCUUCCGAAGAAAGCGAGAAAGGAACAGGCGCCUUCAAAAGCCCACUUGGCGAUGGGUUACAGUAAGAGUUUCAGAGUGCUGGCCACACCAAAGCAUCAGCCCUGGCUCUAAACUCCGUUACACUAAGGAAUUACAAAUCCUGUGUUUGUACUCCAGGAAGUCUGCAUUAUCACGAGGAGCUUGGAAAGGAGGUAACACACUCAAUGCAAAUUUCAAGUAACUCAUCCUGGAGGCAGCUGCCUACUCUGCAGCUGUGGUUCUCCACCACAGAGAGAAGAAAAGGGAGGGAGAUGGAGUGCGCAGGUCUGAGAAGGCUUUCAUUCUGGAGCAUCUGCAGGAGCCUGCACCAUGGCCCAGUAGCACCCCUUUUUCUCCAUGAGCUGCUGGUGGGUUCCCCCCUCCCGGAUAGCGCCUCCUUCCAGAAAGAGGAUGUGGUCAGCCUGCUCCACCAGGCUGAGGUGCUGGGUGAUGAGAAGCACUGAGCGGGAGUACCGCUCAGGGCUUUCGUACAGGAGCUGCUCCACCUGAGGAAAGACAUCGGACCGUCAGAGCCGGGGACUACCCUCAGCCCAGGGAGACACCUGUGUUUCCAGGGCUGGGACUGACCUCACAGGAUCACUGCUGGCUCUGCUAACAACCCCAAGGACACCAACGCUUCCCAUUCUGAGUACUUCUCCACAAACCCUUUGUUUCAUUAAGGACUGUUUUACAUGAAGGGUGCAAAAGUAGGAUAAAAAUGAGAACCCUAGGGUGAAACACAUGACAGAAGAAUAAAGACUAUUGAAUAGUCCUCUUCUCUACCCAUGGACUUGGAAUU